This is a non-coding RNA of Potamilus streckersoni, 77 nucleotides long. The record is from the annotation of a GenBank genome assembly. Lineage: Eukaryota; Metazoa; Mollusca; Bivalvia; Unionida; Unionidae.
GACCAGUCCGGUGGCCUAGUGGUUAGAGCAUUCUUCUUGCAUGCGAAAGGUCGUGGGUUCGAACCCCGGUCGAGUCA